UCGUGGAUUGAUUUGUCUGGUUAAUUCCGUUAACGAACGAGACCUCAGCCUUUAAUAUAUGUUGUCUUGGAUUAGUCCAUUGUCAUCUUCUUAGAGGGACAACUGGUAUCUCAAGCCAGUGGAAGUAUGAGGUAAUAACA
RNAcentral lists this ribosomal RNA (140 nucleotides) under uncultured eukaryote. RNAcentral describes it as "partial 18S ribosomal RNA". It matches the Rfam family "Eukaryotic small subunit ribosomal RNA", at positions 1299 to 1458 of the family's 1831-position model. The record is from RNAcentral.